This 536-nucleotide long non-coding RNA is filed under the name Gallus gallus (chicken). The record is from RNAcentral. Lineage: Eukaryota; Metazoa; Chordata; Aves; Galliformes; Phasianidae.
AACAGAGUAACUCCUCUGUUCCGAGAGACUUCAGAAGCCUACAACAAAGGAGGUCUUCAUCUCACAUCCUCACGGGCCAACUGACACUGCAAGUUCAGCUCAGAAAGCUUUCGCCCUGUGACCCAGGCUUCUGCUCUGGCAGGCACAAUGUGGCCUUCAUGGCAUUCACUCUAUGCUAUGGAAGGAGGAGGAGGUUGUAUCUGCAAAUGUUGCCCUAUAAUCCUGUUGUAGUUUGAUGAUUUUUUGUUGUACUUCACAUCAGAACAUCAUGUGACCCAGUGGAAGUUAACGGGUUAAUGUUCUGGUUCUGUUUACUGUCUCUUAUGGGCACUUCGAGUAGGAGGGGAGGGGCAGCAUUCCCGGAGGACUUGACGCGAAGAGGAAGUGAGGUGGAGCUCCGGACAGGACUGCAGGCGUGUCUCUGUCCCUCCGGGCCGGUUCAGCUUCCUACGCAGAAGGGCGGGUGCUUCCCUCGCGCUUUGAGUGCUCUUCUCUGUCUCAUUUUGUUUGAUUUUGUUGGAUUUAGUAAAUUACCG